RNAcentral lists this ribosomal RNA (449 nucleotides) under uncultured bacterium. Its description in RNAcentral is "bacterial SSU rRNA". It matches the Rfam family "Bacterial small subunit ribosomal RNA", at positions 329 to 794 of the family's 1533-position model. The record is from RNAcentral.
UUCCAGACUCCUACGGGAGGCAGCAGUGGGGGAUAUUGCACAAUGGGGGAAACCCUGAUGCAGCGACGCCGCGUGAGUGAAGAAGUAUUUCGGUAUGUAAAGCUCUAUCAGCAGGGAAGAAGAAAGACGGUACCUGAGUAAGAAGCCCCGGCUAACUACGUGCCAGCAGCCGCGGUAAUACGUAGGGGGCAAGCGUUAUCCGGAUUUACUGGGUGUAAAGGGAGCGUAGACGGUAUGGCAAGUCUGAAGUGAAAGCCCCGGGCUCAACCUGGGAACUGCUUUGGAAACUGUUAAACUAGAGUGCUGGAGAGGCAGGCGGAAUUCCUAGUGUAGCGGUGAAAUGCGUAGAUAUUAGGAGGAACACCAGUGGCGAAGGCGGCCUGCUGGACGAUGACUGACGUUGAGGCUCGAAAGCGUGGGGAGCAAACAGGAUUAGAUACCCGAGUAUA